GCUUGCUACAUAAAUGAGAAUAUUACAAUUGUAUUAGUCUUUUGUACAUCAUACAAUAAUAAUUGAAAAAAAAAAAAAAAAAAAAUUGCGAGUUAUUGCGAGUUAUAAGUAUACAUAAUAUAAUAAUAUAUAAUAUAAUAUUAUCAUUACGCGCUAUAAAUAAUAAUAAUAAUAAUAAUAAUAAUAAUAAUAAUAAUAAUAAUGAUAAAUGUUAUUUACAACACUUUAUAUGUAUAAUAAUUGCAGUGUAUUAAUAAUAUUAUGUACACGAAAAAACCACAAAAAAAAAAAAAAAAAAAACUUAAAACAAGUACAUACAUUUACAAAUAACGUUGGCGAUUUGUACAUUUUUUUUUCUUAUCAAACGAUUUAUUUUAUAAUUCAAUCGAUAUAAUUAUAUAUCAAUAAAUAUAUAAAUAUAUAUAUAUAUAUACUAUAAAUAUGCGUUUUAUAAUAUUAUAUAUGUAUAUAAUAUAUAUAUAUAUAUAUAGGUACAAACGUAAAACAUAAUAUACAUAAUAUAUAGGGAAACGACGCGUAAUGACUAGAAUUUUACGGACUGGGCGGCGCUGUCCGUUUAUUGUUUUUGUUUGUUUUUUUACAGGCGGGAAAACGCGAAUAAAAAAAAAAAAAAAAAA
This is a non-coding RNA of Cinara cedri, 638 nucleotides long. NCBI's taxonomy places the organism in Eukaryota, Metazoa, Arthropoda, Insecta, Hemiptera, Aphididae. The record is from the annotation of a GenBank genome assembly.